UACGUAGGGUCCGAGCGUUGUCCGGAAUUAUUGGGCGUAAAGGGCUCGUAGGCGGUUUGUCGCGUCGGGAGUGAAAACACACAGCUUAACUGUGUGCUGGCUUCCGAUACGGGCAGACUAGAGGUAUGCAGGGGAGAACGGAAUUCCUGGUGUAGCGGUGAAAUGCGCAGAUAUCAGGAGGAACACCGGUGGCGAAGGCGGUUCUCUGGGCAUUACCUGACGCUGAGGAGCGAAAGUGUGGGGAGCGAACAGG
RNAcentral lists this ribosomal RNA (253 nucleotides) under uncultured bacterium. Its description in RNAcentral is "partial 16S ribosomal RNA". It matches the Rfam family "Bacterial small subunit ribosomal RNA", at positions 524 to 776 of the family's 1533-position model. The record is from RNAcentral.